RNAcentral lists this ribosomal RNA (446 nucleotides) under Labyrinthus quadridentatus. Its description in RNAcentral is "partial 16S ribosomal RNA". The record is from RNAcentral. Lineage: Eukaryota; Metazoa; Mollusca; Gastropoda; Stylommatophora; Camaenidae.
AACUUAUUGGUGUUUUAUAAUAAGCUAAAUCUGCUCAAUGAUAAGUUAAAUAGCCGCGGUACUUUGACCGUGCAAAGGUAGCAUAAUCAAUUGGCUUAUAAGUGAAGUCUAGAAUGAAUGAAUUUAUGAAGAAAAACUGUCUUUUAUUUUUAAUAUUAAAAUUAAUUAAUAAGUGAAAAUUCUUAUAUAAAAAUAUUAGACGAGAAGACCCUAAAAAUUUUUUAUAACAAUUUUUAUAAAUUAUACUUAUUUUAUUGGGGCGAUAAAAUAACAACAUAUUAACUUAUUUUACUGUUAAUAAGAGUUAAAGUUUAAAGAUAAAAUAAAUUACUUUAGGGAUAACAGCAUAAUUUAUAAUUAAGUUUGUGACCUCGAUGUUGGAUUAGGAAUUAAGUAGAUUAGAAAUUUAUUAAGAAAGUUCUGUUCGAACUUUUAUAUCCUACAUG